GAUGAACGCUGACAGAAUGCUUAACACAUGCAAGUCGAUGGGGAAGUGGUGCUUGCACCAUGGUAACCAUGGCGGACGGGUGAGUAACGCGUAAGGAACUUGCCUGCGGGACUGGGAUAACAGCAGGAAACUGCUGAUAAUACCGGAUAAGGUCAUUAAGCUGCAUAGCUUAGUGAUGAAAGGAGACGCCUGCGGAGAGCCUUGCGUCCUAUUAGCUAGUUGGAGGGGUAACGGCCCACCAAGCCGAAGAUAGGUAGCCGGCCUGAGAGGGUGGACGGCCACAAGGGGACUGAGAUACGGCCCUUACUCCUACGGGAGGCAGGAGUGGGGAAUAUUGGACAAAGGGGGCAACCCUGAUCCAGCAAUUCGGUGUGCACGAAGACGGUUUUCGGAAUGUAAAGUGCUUUCAGCAGGGAAGAAGGAAGUGACGGUACCUGCAGAAGAAGCGACGGCUAAAUACGUG
This 463-nucleotide ribosomal RNA is filed under the name uncultured bacterium. Its description in RNAcentral is "partial 16S ribosomal RNA". It matches the Rfam family "Bacterial small subunit ribosomal RNA", at positions 28 to 507 of the family's 1533-position model. The record is from RNAcentral.